Molecule: unclassified non-coding RNA, 2298 nt
Filed under: Hevea brasiliensis (rubber tree)
Lineage: Eukaryota; Viridiplantae; Streptophyta; Magnoliopsida; Malpighiales; Euphorbiaceae
Source: RNAcentral
GAGAGAGACACACACACACACACAAUUUUGCAUACAAAUGACAUACAAUGCGGCUAAUUUACAGCGAUGAUGAACAGAAUAAAGUAUCAGAACUCAGAUCCCGAGCUAACUGAAGAAGGUGCUCUAUGCUGAUAUCAGGGUAGUGCUGCAAAAGCCUCAAGUUAGCAGCAAAAUCCCCACUUAACAGCCUGCUCUUCACACAUAGCAACAUUGCACAACAGAUCCGUAAAAGCAUAUCCUGCAACAAAAAAAAAAAAGAAAAAAUUUGUUUCCCAUUAAUUAUAAUUCAUCUGGAUCACCUCAAGAUAACUUUAGAAUGAGCAACAGUGUCGGAUACUUCUAGUCCAGUCAAUGAUUGUGUGUAUGUGUGAGAGAAAGAGAGACCUGAACGCCAGAAGGAUUACUCAGAAGUGAAUCCCAAAUUCUUAAGAUGGACUGGAAGUUGAAUUCUUGAGUAAGUAGUAAUGUGAUCCACCUGAACGCAUAGAAUUGCGGCUUAACCUUGGUUGUCAACUCAAGAUGCCGCCACAAUUCCUCAUCAUUUUCUUUCAGUAAGUCUGUCAAUCGCGAAAGGGUGGAUAGGAUACCAACUGGACUAGUAUCCAACAGUGGACAAAAGUGAUCCAUUGAAUCACUCAGCAGUCGAACAAAACAGGAAAAACUAUCUGCUUCUGCAUUUGCAGCAUUCUGCUGGUCAGUGUCAGUACUAAAUACAUAGAAUAUUGGUGCCAAGACUUCAUUCAUGCCUUGAACAUAACGAAUAGCAGGAUUUAGUUUUGCAAAAAGGAGAAGAAUAUUCCUCAUAGCAUCCUGCAGUUGAAAAUACCUCAUAAAUUUAGUCUAGGAGAACCCAAUUUUGUAUCCUUGUUGUUACUACUACUGCAAUUUGGCAUAGAAUUUUGAAUUUCAUCUGGCAGCUUAAAAAACAAGGAGAUAGAGAAGCUGCCACAAAAGAAACUAAGAACUUCUGGUAUGCCUUUCAGCUUGAGCAAAUAAUCGUUACCAGCUGAUAGAAAUAAAAUAGAGGAGAAAAAUAAUGGGAGAACAAGUAUACCCUGUUUUUCCGACUGAAUGACGAGUCCCCUGAAAAGAAUUUAAUGUUACGCUGCAAAUCACGCUCAAUCUGAUCUGCAAUCUCUGUAUGCUGAAAGUACUGAUGCCAAGCACUACUCUUACCAACACUCAAGGGGUGAUCUUCAUGAGAAACCCCAUGUCUCUUAAGUGGUCCAGCAACAUCACCUUCAGCAUUCAGCUCAUCAGAAUUCAAUGCAUCAUCAUUUACCCUAUUGACCUCUGACUGUCUAAAUUCAAGAUUUUGGUUAGUGCAUGGAAAUGAUUAAAGCACCAACCAAAAGGCACCUGAUUGAAUAUGUGCUGUAAGAAAUGAAUCUGCAACUAAAAUUCAGAAAUCAGCUAAUAUGUGAAUAGGGCAUAGCAGUCAGCAACUUACAGGACUACAUAGAAGUUCCUCUUUUAGCUUGGCAUAUUUUUGUCUAUUCCCAGUCAGUUCCUUUUCCCACAAGUCACGGGAAGGAGACAAAUAACCUAAGAGAAGCUUCCAAGUUGCUGCGCGCAAACCUCCUCCCUCAGGGAUACCUGUAUUAGCAAUUCUCCUCAACUUUUCUAAAUUUAUUUCCUUCUGAGAAAGCUCAUGUUCAAGAUCAGACCUUUUCUCGUCGGCGGCAAUAACCUCCAUCACCGAAACCUGUCCCGGUCCAUCUUUUAAGGAUCUUUUCGGGGCCUUAGCAUCCUCUUUAUCCAUCAUUUUGUCAUUAAUGCCAAAAUCAUCAUCGAAUUCACAUUGGAAUUCAUAGUCACUUUCCUUAGCCACCUCGGCCCCAUUGGGCUGAAUAAACUCGAGCUCCUCUCCGGACUGAAAAACCAGGUCGUACCCUCCACUUUCAUCUUCUCCCUUAUCAUCAAGACCCGCGAUUAAGCUUCCAAGAGGGAAGACGCGGCGAGCUUUGUCAGGGAGCUUGAACUUGCCUUUGAGCAUGGUGAGCGAGGUGGGAUGAGUCAGUGGAGUUGAAUCGGUUGAGUUGGACUUGUGGGUAUGCCUGGUUUUUACAUGGGAGUGUUUUGAGAGAAAUGAUAAAGAGAGUAGAGAAUCUGUAAGAGGGUCAUGACUCAGGCUUAAGAGGGUUGGGAAAUCGAUGUUUCUCUUCUGAGGAAGAGUGGUAGUUAUUCACGGUUGAAUGGCAGUUGGUACAGGAGACUAGGCUUUCGGGAGCGGCCCUUCUGUUCUUGAACAAGAAGAAGCAGGAUAUCGGUUGUCCUAAUCCAAAUCGUAGCCCAACU